Molecule: ribosomal RNA, 442 nt
Filed under: uncultured bacterium
Lineage: Bacteria
Description: partial 16S ribosomal RNA
Rfam family: Bacterial small subunit ribosomal RNA
Source: RNAcentral
CCUACGGGAUGCAGCAGUGGGGAAUAUUGGGCAAUGGGCGCAAGCCUGACCCAGCAACGCCGCGUGAAGGAAGAAGGCUUUCGGGUUGUAAACUUCUUUUGUCAAGGAAGAGUAGAAGACGGUACCUGACGAAUAAGCCACGGCUAACUACGUGCCAGCAGCCGAGGUCAUACGUAGGGGGCAAGCGUUGUCCGGAUUUACUGGGUGUAAAGGGCGUGUAGCCGGGUUGACAAGUCAGGUGUGAAAUUCUGCGGCUUAACCGAAGAACUGCAUUUGACACUGGUGAUCUUGAGUACUGGUGAGGCAGAUGGAAUUCCUAGUGUAGCGGUGAAAUGCGUAGAUAUUAGGAGGAACACCAGUGGCGAAGGCGGUCUGCUGGACAGCAACUGACGGUGAUGCGCGAAAGCGUGGGGAGCAAACAGGAUUAGAUACCCUAGUAGUC